GUCCCAGGCUAGUAGUAGCACCAGCCACUGCACUUCUGUAAAACUAAGUUGUUGGCAAAUUUGAUACAGGUCAGUAGUUUGAGCUAGAACAUCCAAUGGAGUUGCGUAACUUGGCAAAAGUCUUGCUUUUUCAGUCUUCUGCAUAUUCAAUGUGCUUUACUCCUAGCAACUUGAACGUUCAGGCUUUGAGGGAAGAUUUAGCUUUAACUUUGGAUUUUCUAUAUCUUGCUCUGAAGUAACCUCACUUCCUUUCACCACGUCCUGCCACGUCAUUUGAAAGAGGUAAGAAGUGCCUUUUGUACGCCUCAGGGUUUUGUUCACAUGAAUCCAGCCAAACUGAGAGCCACUAUAUACCUGGCUCCAUUACCUCAGGGUUUUGUUCACAUGAGAGCCACUAUAUACCUGGCUCCAUUUGCAGGAAGGAGGGUGAAGAACUUCCCAUUGCACUUGCUGCUACAGAGCUGGAUGCAUUGCCCAUUCCCUGCGCAGACUUGAGUACUGAGCCGGUGUAGUAUUGCUGUCCAUCACCAAGGAAACGGAGGGCUGGGGAGAGACACUUUUAUUCCCCAGCUGCUUUCUGCUGCACAGGGGAACAUGAAGCGAUGCUGCCUGGGAAGCAGAGGAGUCCUCUCUCCAGGGCACUGAGCUGGGAUUUUCACGUUCUUUCACUGCCGUUGUUUCCGAGGUGUUGUGUGACCUUGGGAUGUCAUUGUGAAUUAUGUCAGUUCAUGCUGAAAGAGUGGAUUGAAAGUGACUCGCUCUGGAUUUAUCCAUUCCCAUCCUUUGUUUCAAGAGGAUUGAGUUAAAAACUUUUACUCCAAGGCUAAAGACCUACCAAAACUACCUUUAUUAUUUAUAGUUCUUAUGGCUGUCACAUCGCCAUCUCAAAGUCAUUGACCAAGACUCCGUUGAGCUAGGUAAUAUGCAUAAAGAACAAAAAAGGAUGUUUUGGCACUGAGAGCUUACAUUUGAGAAUAAAAGGAGACAAUAGAAUAAGAAGAACA
RNAcentral lists this long non-coding RNA (1004 nucleotides) under Struthio camelus australis. RNAcentral's name for it is "lncRNA (ENSSCUG00000017546.1)". Lineage: Eukaryota; Metazoa; Chordata; Aves; Struthioniformes; Struthionidae. The record is from RNAcentral.